Molecule: ribosomal RNA, 497 nt
Filed under: uncultured bacterium
Lineage: Bacteria
Description: partial 16S ribosomal RNA
Rfam family: Bacterial small subunit ribosomal RNA
Source: RNAcentral
GAUGAACGCUGGCGGCGUGCCUAAUACAUGCAAGUCGAGCGAACAGACGAGGAGCUUGCUCCUCUGACGUUAGCGGCGGACGGGUGAGUAACACGUGGAUAACCUACCUAUAAGACUGGGAUAACUUCGGGAAACCGGAGCUAAUACCGGAUAAUAUAUUUAACCGCAUGGUUCAAGAGUGAAAGACGGUUUUGCUGUCACUUAUAGAUGGCUCCGCGCCGCAUUAGCUAGUUGGUAAGGUAACGGCUUACCAAGGCAACGAUGCUUAGCCGACCUGAGAGGGUGAUCGGCCACACUGGAACUGAGACACGGUCCAGACUCCUACGGGAGGCAGCAGUAGGGAAUCUUCCGCAAUGGGCGAAAGCCUGACGGAGCAACGCCGCGUGAGUGAUGAAGGUCUUCGGAUCGUAAAACUCUGUUAGUAGGGAAGAACAAAUGUGUAAGUAAAUAUGCACGUCUUGACGGUACCUAAUCAGAAAGCCACGGCUAACUACGUG